This 281-nucleotide ribosomal RNA is filed under the name uncultured bacterium. RNAcentral describes it as "partial 16S ribosomal RNA". It matches the Rfam family "Bacterial small subunit ribosomal RNA", at positions 29 to 325 of the family's 1533-position model. The record is from RNAcentral.
AACGAACGCUGGCGGCAGGCUUAACACAUGCAAGUCGAACGGAUGGGUGUAGCAAUACAUUUCAUCAGUGGCAGACGGGUGAGUAACACGUGGGAACCUUCCUCGUUGUACGGGACAACUCAGGGAAACUUGAGCUAAUACCGUAUAAGUCCGAGAGGAGAAAGAUUUAUCGCAAUGAGACGGGCCCGCGUCGGAUUAGCUAGUUGGUGGGGUAACGGCCUACCAAGGCGACGAUCCGUAGCUGAUCUGAGAGGAUGAUCAGCCACACUGGGGACUGAGAC